Long non-coding RNA from Gouania willdenowi (blunt-snouted clingfish), 533 nucleotides. NCBI's taxonomy places the organism in Eukaryota, Metazoa, Chordata, Actinopteri, Blenniiformes, Gobiesocidae. The record is from Ensembl.
CCGGAGACUUCCGUUCGUUCACAUUCAACGAUGGCACUAGUAGACACACAAUCUGUCCCAGGACUAUCGCAGCAGGAACAUCCUCUACUGGAGGCGUGUGCGUGUACGCUGCUGUCCAGUAGCAGACAAAGGUCUCCUGGUCCUGGAUGAGACCUGGAUAUGCUCAGGUUGAUGGUUCUACAUCCAACCAUGGUCUGAGUUAGAGCCUCAUCCAGCUGAAGUUUUGGCGCUGGUGUCAUCGUCGUGGAGCUGUGAGGCGUUCAGGGUCUCCUGGUCCUGGAUGAGACCUGGAUAUGCUCAGGUUGAUGGUUCUACAUCCAACCAUGGUCUGAGUUAGAGCCUCAUCCAGCUGAAGGUGUGUGUGGUGAGCCGUUUAAACAUUUAAUAACAGAAAUAUAAAUCACAAACAUAACAUUGUCUAUUACGGAGGUCUCAUUAAAGAACAAAUUAUGCCUGUUAAAUAUGUGUUUUAAGUUAUUUAGAGUUGCUUGUUAAACAAAUGACAGCUGCAGAUACAAUGUUAAUUAUUGAUG